This 497-nucleotide ribosomal RNA is filed under the name uncultured bacterium. RNAcentral describes it as "partial 16S ribosomal RNA". It matches the Rfam family "Bacterial small subunit ribosomal RNA", at positions 28 to 507 of the family's 1533-position model. The record is from RNAcentral.
GAUGAACGCUGGCGGCGUGCCUAAUACAGGAAAGUCGAGCGAACAGACGAGGAGCUUGCUCCUCUGACGUUAGCGGCGGACGGGUGAGUAACACGUGGAUAAUUUACCUAUAAGACUGGGAUAACUUCGGGAAACCGGAGCUAAUACCGGAUAAUAUAUUGAACCGCAUGGUUCAAUAGUGAAAGACGGUUUUGCUGUCACUUAUAGAUGGAUCCGCGCCGCAUUAGCUAGUUGGUAAGGUAACGGCUUACCAAGGCAACGAUGCGUAGCCGACCUGAGAGGGUGAUCGGCCACACUGGAACUGAGACACGGUCCAGACUCCUACGGGAGGCAGCAGUAGGGAAUCUUCCGCAAUGGGCGAAAGCCUGACGGAGCAACGCCGCGUGAGUGAUGAAGGUCUUCGGAUCGUAAAACUCUGUUAUUAGGGAAGAACAAAUGUGUAAGUAACUAUGCACGUCUUGACGGUACCUAAUCAGAAAGCCACGGCUAACUACGUG